GACAGAGGUCCCAAGCGUUAGGCGGAAUCACUGGGCUUAAAGCGUGUGUAGGCGGAUGCCUAAGUACCUUGUGAAAUCCCACGGCUCACCCGUGGAACUGCUUGGUAUACUGGGUGUCUUGAGCCACUUAGGGGCUACCGGAACAAAUGGUGGAGCGGUGAAAUGCGUAGAUAUCAUUUGGAACGCCAACGGUGAAAACAGGUAGCUGGGAGUGUGCUGACGCUGAGACACGAAAGCCAGGGGAGCAAACGGG
RNAcentral lists this ribosomal RNA (253 nucleotides) under uncultured bacterium. RNAcentral's name for it is "partial 16S ribosomal RNA". It matches the Rfam family "Bacterial small subunit ribosomal RNA", at positions 524 to 776 of the family's 1533-position model. The record is from RNAcentral.